GACGAACGCUGGCGGCGUGCUUAACACAUGCAAGUCGAACGGAAAGGCCCUGCUUUUGUGGGGUGCUCGAGUGGCGAACGGGUGAGUAACACGUGAGUAACCUGCCCUUGACUUUGGGAUAACUUCAGGAAACUGGGGCUAAUACCGGAUAGGAGCUCCUGCUGCAUGGUGGGGGUUGGAAAGUUUCGGCGGUUGGGGAUGGACUCGCGGCUUAUCAGCUUGUUGGUGGGGUAGUGGCUUACCCAGGCUUUGACGGGUAGCCGGCCUGAGAGGGUGACCGGCCACAUUGGGACUGAGAUACGGCCCAGACUCCUACGGGAGGCAGCAGUGGGGAAUAUUGCACAAUGGGCGGAAGCCUGAUGCAGCAACGCCGCGUGCGGGAUGACGGCCUUCGAGUUGUAAACCGCUUUCGCCUGUGACGAAGCGUGAGUGACGGUAAUGGGUAAAGAAGCACCGGCUAACUACGUG
This 468-nucleotide ribosomal RNA is filed under the name uncultured bacterium. Its description in RNAcentral is "partial 16S ribosomal RNA". It matches the Rfam family "Bacterial small subunit ribosomal RNA", at positions 28 to 507 of the family's 1533-position model. The record is from RNAcentral.